UCCCCUUCCAUACAGCCUCAAAAAUAAAUUUGAUACAAUUAACCAUGAAUAAAAUGCCAUAAAAGGGUAGUUUCCUAAUAAUUACAGCACAAACAGCUCCCUCUCCCCCAGAUGAUCCACGAAUGGAAGGAUCUGGGAUCAAAAUCGGCUCCUCCUUCAAAUCCCGCUGACAUCUCAUACUGACACCCGGAAUGAAAGGAUGACCUGCUAAAUCUACAAAAUUAUCCUCUGCAACCCGAGCAUAAUUGAUAGUCUUAAUAAACAAGGAAAUAGAAACACCAUAAAUACGCCGUUUCCAAGUAAUAUCAGCGGAAUUUUCUCUAUUGCCUUUAGAGGAAUUAAAUUCCAGUGUUUCCAAAGGUAAUAUCGGAGUAAGUGACCACGGGUAGCCUAGCCGGCUCCCCCUGGCCUUUCUGAAAAAAUUACGAGCCGAUCCGGCUCUCAAGAAUCCAAGACAUGGGGCCGCCUUCCCCUGGCCGGCUGUCUCCUAGGCCGGCUAUUGGAAGGCGGCCCGACUUCAGCCCUCAUGAAGAAAGCCGCGGGAGGGCCAGCUCCGAGGAGCCGGCUGCGAGAAGGCCGACCCCAAGGAGCCGGCUCCCAUAAAGCAGUCAAGACCGUACCACCGAAGUCUGCAUCCACAUAACGGCGAUGUGACGGGGCGUGGCUACAGUCAAGCCUGCCACCCCCGAAUCCCGGAGCUCACCUGGCACAGUGCACCGUACGGGUGGCCAUGACCCGUCCAGCGCAGCACUGUUGCCACACUGACCCUGAUGUCAUCCACGACGGGCUACCAGUACGGCCCAUGGACGGUGGGCCCCGUCAGGCAGAGAGACACCUGAAGGCGGCCUGGCCUCCCCCAGUUGGCCCGAGACGGAGCCGGCUCUCUCCAGCCGGCUUGCCACCCCCUCGAAUGAGACGCCCCAUUAAGGAGACAAGACGCAGUGAGGCUACAGUGGUCACCCGCCGGACGGCAGCACUGUAGCCAUGCUUACCUCGGCGAAGCCCUUGUCACCAAGAUUGAGCAACAGUAACCAGCCACCGACAAGGCCCUGGACAGUGGGGCCUGCCUGUCGACCAGGGAGCCGGCAGCCGGCGGGACCCACCAGUCGGCGGGCCCCAGCAGCCGGCGCAGAAGCCGGAGAGCGAAGACACAGACGGCUGGGCCCCACGCCCAGCCGGAUUACCAUUGUACCCCCGGGAGGGUAGGCCUAUAUAAACCCCCCGGGACACCCAUGCAAAGGGUUGAUCCCUGCUAGUUUUAGACACCACGUAGGGAGGAGAAGAGAGCAAGCAGAGCCCUUCUUUCUCCUCUCGUCAAACAACUCAAGGAGCAUCGUGUAGCUACUUGUUCAUCUAGUGAUCACGCGGAGACCCCGCAGAGCAGUAGUAGGGGUGUUAUCUCCACGGAGAGCCCCGAAGCUGGGUAAGAUUCGUCGGCGUGCAUGUCUUCGCCUCAUCCCGUUUCCAGGCACCGGUGAUGUUUUACUGGCUCCCACAAUGAUAAGCCACCCGCUGGCAUAUGUCGCACCUACCACCCGACAUUUGGCGCCCACCGUGGGGCCAGGUGCACCGUCGUCCGGAAACCUGUUCUGGACGGGAACCCUCUUCCUCCCCCGCGAGCGUAGCCAGCCUGGCACGCCUGAUGGCGCUUGCCACGACGCGCUGCAAGGCGUCACCAACGCCUGCGCAGCGAGCAGCCUCGCUGAUCUCCUCGACAAGACCCUCAUCUCCGACGAGCUCGCCUCCGACACGGGCACCGACCACCUCGUCAACCUCCUCGGCCGGCUCCAUGUCCCUGGCGAGCCUGCUGUGGACUUGGAGUCGGUUGGCUCCACAGAUCCGAUGCCUGUCGACUCCGACACGGCCUAGUUCGACACCUUCCCCACCAACGUCACGAUCUACAAUGACCCGCUUCCCCGAGCCGAUGGCUGCGACGCUGUCACCACCGAGGUGAUGGUCAUCAGCCACGACGGCGCUGCUGAUGAGAGCGCCCACGACGCCCCGCACACGGCGGUCCACGACUUGUCCAUCCCCCUCCCGGCCGACACUGACGCUGAAGCACUAGAGGCUCACCGCCUCGCCUUCCUCGCGGAAGGCCGGAAAUUGGUUUCCAUGAGAUGCCUCGCUGAGGCCCACCGACGCGAGGCCGACCGCGCCGCCUUUGGCACGCCGCCCCCAGGCGGGCCCAGCCGGGUCGGCAUUGUCAGACAGCGCGGCGCUGUCGUUGCCGACACGUUAGGAGUCGACCGCCCAGUCUACGCCACUCCACUCGAGAACCUGCGCGCCGCCCAGGCGGCCGUAGACGAGCUAGACGGACUGGGGGCCGAAGAACUCCCCCACAUUACCCGACGCAUCCAGCAGCUGAUCGAUGCAGCCGCGCAGCGGCACGAAGCCGACGCCCGCGUGGAAAGCCCUCCCCCGCGCCGAGAUCACGGCGCGAUGUCCCGGACGCCGACUGCGGGUAGAGACCGCGCGCGGCGCGAGAAAGAGCCGGCUGCCAGCCGAAGCCAAACCCGGAUCUCCGUCGAGCGAGACGCAGAAGGCCACCCUCGGGCCGUGGAGUGGCAGGGCAACCCGCCUCCGCCCCGGCCCCAUGGAGAGAGGUAUCCCACCCCUCCGCCGGUGGCGCAUCCGACUCUCAGCGGCUGACUAGGUCGCCGCGAAGGAGUCGGCGAAAACGACGCCCGCCAUCGGAUCGACCGCCUGGCGCGAUCCCUGGCGCUGGAAGAAGAAGACGAUGUCGGUCCGCCUUGCUUCAGCCCCCGCAUCCGCGACGAGCCCUUCCCCAAAGGGUUCUCGCUCCCAAGAGACACGCCCAAGUACAACGGCUCCGUGAAGCCGGAAGAUUGGUUGAUCAACUACUCCACAGCGGUUAGCAUAGCCAAUGGCAACCGGCGCGUUGCCGUGCAGUACGUGCCCCUCAUGCUGCAAGGCACAGCGCGGACCUGGCUCAACAGCCUCAAACCACGCAGCAUCAACAGCUGGCUAGAUUUCACAGAAGCUUUCGUCCGCAACUUCACCAGCACCUACAAGCGGGCUCCCAAGCCCAGACAGCUCUCCUUGUGCGUACAAGGCCCCGCCGAGUCAACUCGCGACUACCCCACGCGUUUGGCCGAGCUCCGCAACUCUUGCAAAGGGGUGCACGAGGUGCAAGACAUCGAAUACUUCACAGCCGGGUGUCGAGAAGGCACCCUCCUCAAGCACAAGCUUCUCUGCGACGAGCCGACUACCCUCGACGAGCUUCUGGACAUAGUGGACAAGUACGCCACCGCCGACUCCUCAAUGAAGACCGAGCUCCGGGUAGAUGCAUCCGGAAAAGUACUCAACCCGGCACCCAAGACGCCGGCUGGGGAUUCCGGCCGACGCCCACACUCGAACGACCACAAGCACAAGGGCCCCGCGCCACCUCCCGCUAGUCGGCAGGUGGCCACAGUCGAAGACGUGCCGCCCGAAGGGCGGCCCGCGCCCAAGAAACCCAAGGGCGGCAGGCCGGCUUGGCAGCCGACCUUCUCCUACGAGCAAACUCUCAACGCCCCGUGCAAGUUCCACAGCGGCGCGAAGCCGUCCAACCACACAACCCGGAAGUGCCAUUGGCUCACCCGAAUCUGCAAAGGCGAAGGGCUCGCACCGCCUCCGCCUGCCGGCCCGCCGCCUUCGGUUCCGCCGGUGCCGGCCGCUCGGCCCGCAGUCGGAGCCGUGCAUGAUGAGUUCCCCGACGAGCAUGCCGCCUAUAUCAUCUUUACAAGCCAGCCCGAAGACCGGCGCAACAAAUGCCGAGAGAACGAGGAAGUCAGCAUGGUUGCUGCCAACCCCGUCGAGCACAUGCACUGGUCGGAAAAACCCAUCAGCUAGAGCCGGGCCGAUCACCCAGAGGUGAUGCCAUCUCCCGGCUCUUAUGCGUUGGUUCUGGAUGCCACCCUUGCAACGGACAGACGCGCCGCCUGCUUCUCCCGUGUGUUGAUAGACGGCGGGAGCAACAUCAACAUCUUGUACCGCGACACCCUGGAGAAGCUGAACGUCAAGACAAAGCAACUCAUGCCUACUCGAACAGUGUUCCAUGGCAUCGUACCCGGCCUGUCCUGUGCCCCCAUUGGCAAGAUCAAGAUUGAUGUACUUUUUGGGGACAAGGAGCAUUUCCGCCGGGAAGCGAUCUAGUUUGAAGUGGUGGACCUGGAGAGCCCUUACCAUGCAUUGCUUGGCCGACCUGCCUUGGCCAAAUUCAUGGCAGUUCCCCACUAUGCAUACCUCAAGAUGAAGAUGCCAAGCACCAAAGGCGUCAUCACCAUAGCCGGCGAUUACAAGAAGUCCUCUGAGUGCGCAGCAGCCAGCAGCCGGCUGGCCGAGUCCCUUGUGAUUGCCGAAGAAAAGAAGAUGUUGGACCGAGUCUGGCCAUAGCCGGCAAGCAGUCGGCCUUGUCCCCCGAUCCCAAGGAGCAUGAUGCUCAAGGAUCUUUCCAGCCGGCCAAGGAGACAAAGAAGAUACCUCUUGACCCCGAGCACCCAGAGAGGUUUGCCGUCAUUGGGGCAAACCUAAACAGCAAAUAGGAAGGUGAGCUCGCCGAUUUCCUCCAUGAGAAUCGGGACAUCUUUGCAUGGUCCCCCAAGGACAUGCCGGGCGUCCCGAAGGAAUUCGCCGAGCACAAACUACACGUCCGAGAAGACGCAAAGCCAGUCAAACAACCCCUUCGCCGACUGUCGGAGAAGAAACGCAGGAUUGUGGGAGAGGAGAUAGCCCGGCUUCUGGCAGUCGGCUUCAUUAUGGAAGUUUUCUUUCCAGAGUGGCUCGCCAACCCGGUCCUCGUGCUAAAGAAGAACAACAAGUGGCGCAUGUGUAUAGACUACACGAGCCUCAACAAGGCCUGCCCCAAAGACCCCUUUGCCCUGCCGAGGAUUGGCCAAGUGAUAGACUCCACGGCCGGAUGCGAGCUGUUGAGUUUCUUGGAUGCUUACUCAGGGUAUCACCAGAUAAAGUUGGAUCCGGCAGACCGCCUGAAGACCACCUUCAUCACGCCAUUCGGAGCCUUCUGCUACCUGACUAUGACAUUCGGCUUGAGAAAUGCCGGUGCCACUUUUUAGCGUUGCAUGCAGAAGUGCCUCCUCAAGCAACUCGGCAGGAAUGCCCACGUCUACGUAGACGACAUUGUGGUGAAGACGGAGAAGCGCGGCACCUUGCUGGAAGACCUCAAGGAAACAUUUGAGAACCUACGCCGGUUCCAAAUCAAGCUUAACCCCGAGAAAUGCGUGUUCGGAGUACCAGCCGGCCAGCUCCUAGGCUUCCUGGUCUCCAAACGCGGCAUCGAAUGCAACCCAGUAAAGAUCAAGGCCAUUGAGAGAAUGGCGAUUCCCACCAAACUUCGAGACGUCCAGAAGUUUACCGGAUGCUUGGCCUCCCUAAACCGCUUCAUCAGCCGGCUCGGAGAGAAAGCUCUCCCCCUCUACCGCCUCAUGAAGAAGACCACUCACUUCGAGUGGAAUGACCAAGCUGACCAAGCUUUCCACGAGCGGAAGAAGAUGCUGGCCACACCGCCAGUCCUAGCGGCGCCGACUGAGAAAGAGCCCAUGCUCCUCUACAUUGCCGCAACCAGCCGGGUGGUCAGCACCGUCAUUGUAGUCCAACGCCCAGAAGAAGGCCGAGCCCAGCCGGUCCAGAGGCCGGUCUAUUAUUUGAGCGAGGUGCUGUCUACCUCGAAGCAGAACUACCCGCACUACCAGAAGAUGUGCUAUGGCGUGUACUUUGCCGCCAAGAAGCUGAAGCCCUACUUCCAAGAGCAUCCCAUCACGGUCGUAUGCACCGCCCCGCUGGCCGAGAUCAUAGGCAGCCGGGAUGCAUCCGUCCGGGUGGCAAAAUGGGCCAUCGAGCUGGCCCCUUACACGAUCUUCUACCAGCCUCGCACCGCCAUCAAGUCCCAAGCAUUGGCCGACUUCCUCGUCGACUGGGUCGAGACCUAGUACAUACCGCCGGCUCCCGACUCCACUCAUUGGCGCAUGCACUUCGAUGGGUCCAAGAUGCGCACCGGCUUGGGAGCCGGCAUCAUCCUCACCUCUCCCAAAGGCGACAAGCUCAGAUACACGCUGCAAAUUCACUUUGCCGCCUCCAACAACGUGGCCGAGUACGAGGCGCUCAUACACGGGCUCCGGCUUGCCAAAGAACUCGGCAUUCGCCGGAUCCUAUGUUAUGGCGACUCAGACUUGAAGGUCCAGCAAUCAUCCGGCGACUGGGAUGCCAAGGACGCAAAUAUGGCAAGCUACCGCUUCCUCGUUCAGCAGACCAGCGGGUAUUUUGAAGGAUGCAAAUUCCUCCACGUACCGCGAGCCGACAACGAGCCAGCUGAUGCUCUGGCUCGAAUAGGCUCCACCCGGCAAGCAAUACCAACUGGCGUCUCUCUACAACGCCUCCUCAAGCCGUCUAUCAAGCCGUCUCCAGAGUCCGAUUCCAUCUUCGUGCCGCCUGACCCCGAUGCGGCCGGGUCUGGCUCGAAGAACCAAGCAGGUGGCCCGGGGACAUCGAUAGUCGGCCAGGGGGUAUCAGCAGGUGGCUCGGGGACUUCCGUAGUUACGCCCGACCCGGGGACUGCCUCACCCGGCUCGGGGACUGCGGUAGUCGGCCCGGAGACUACACCAACACAACAGGCGGCGGCCGACUCCAGCAUUUCACCACCCAGCCCGCCCGCCCUGCUCACAGUAGCCAUUUUGGCAAUAGAAGAAGUCACAGCUCCGUCAUGGGCUCAAUCCAUCCUCAACUUCCUAAUAAACCAAGAUCUGCCGGCUGACGAAGUAGAGGCAAGACAAGUCCAACGCCGAGCUGGAGCAUACACAAUCGUCAAUAGAGAGCUCGUCAAGUGCAGUGUCACUAGAGUCCUCCAGCGAUGCAUCGAGCAAGAGAAGGGCAUUGCAAUCCUCAGAGACAUCCACCAAGGAGAAUGUGGCCACCAUGUGGCCUCAAGAUCACUCGUCGCCAAAGCCUUCCGCCAUGGUUUCUUUUGGCCGACUGCUUUGGAUGACGCCAAGGAGUUAGUUAAAAAGUGCAAAGGGUGCCAACUCUUCAGCUCCAAGCAACACAUGCCAGCUUCAGCACUCAAGACCAUUCCCCUCACCUGGCCCUUCGCCGUUUGGGGACUAGACAUGGUGGGCCCAUUCAAGACAGCGCGCGGCGGCAUGACACAUCUGCUUGUCGCCGUGGACAAAUUCACCAAAUGGAUUGAAGCAAAGCCGAUCAAGAAGCUGAAUGGGCCGACUGCCGUCACAUUUAUCGCAGAUAUAACAACUCGGUACGGCGUGCCACACAGCAUCAUCACCGACAAUGGCACAAAUUUCGCCAAGGGAGCCUUGGCACGUUUCUGCGCGACGCUAGGCAUCUGGUUGGAUCUAGCAUCCAUCGCCCACCCGCAGUCAAACAGCCAGGUCGAGCGAGCCAACGGCCUCAUCCUUUCCGGCAUCAAGCCCCGACUAAUCGUACCACUGGAGCGUUCAGCCGGCUGUUGGCUCGAUGAGCUGCCGGCUGUCCUUUGGAGUCUGCACACUACACCAAACAAGUCAACCGGCUUCACCCCUUUCUUCCUCGUGUAUGGUGCCGAGGCGGUCAUCCCAACUGACAUCAAGUUCGACUCGCCUCGAGUAACCAUGUACACGGAAGCGGAGGCCAAGGAAGCACGAGAAGACGGCGUCGACCUGCUAGAAGAAAGUCGGCUGUUAGCCCUCAGCCGGUCCGCCAUCUAUCAGCAGGGCCUGCGCCGCUACCACAGCUGGAAGGUCAAGCCAAGAUCCUUCCAAGAGGGCGAUCUUGUGCUCCGGCUGAUCCAGCGAACAGCCGGCCAGCACAAGCUCUCGGCCCCUUGGGAGGGCCCCUUCGUCAUCAGCAGAGCCUUAGGUAACGACUCCUACUACCUGAUCGACGCGCAGAAGCCGAAGGCACGAAAGAGAGACGACUCCGGCAAGGAGUCGGAACAACCAUGGAACGCCAACCUCCUCCGAAGGUUUUACAGCUGAAAUGCAGUAUGUAUCACACUAACUUUUGUACUAAGUACGAGACAAUAGGGCCCCCGAGGAGAGCUCGGGGACUGCCAUCUUUUGUCUAUAAAUGAAAAGUAUCAUGCUUAUGGCCUUGUCAUUGCAUUCACUUUUUUCCGUCUGGCACCGGGUUCGACUAGUCGGCCCGGGGACAGGCCGCCUGGAGUUAUAUUAGAAGUACUACCCGCAGUCAAACAAGUAGUGUGCCGGCUCCCAAGCCUUCUCUUGCCAAAAGUCGCAGUUCGAAGAACCGGCUGUCCGGCUGGCAAGAGUUAAGGGCAGGAACGGGUGCCCACACGAAAAACGCUAGGGACUAACAGACUAAUAUAACAAAAGCCGUUUUUUUCUCCCACCGCCGACCGGCUACCAAAGUAGCCGGCCGGCCGGCUUCCAUUCACCUCGCUCCAAUCUAAGAAAGCUCAAGUACUUGCCUUCCCAGAAGGGGAAGACGGCAAAGGAAACAGCCUAAGGAUAAAAAGCAUACGUGAAUGGAAACCAAACAUGCACACGAUAAUAUUUACAUAAAAGACCUUCAAAAGGCCAGCAUUCAACAUAGUUUGGAUACACCCCCAGUGGGUGGAACCGCGGAAGCUUAAUAAAAUUGUUCAGAAGGCAACAAGCAGGAAAAAACAAGGACGGCAGAUUAAGCCGGCUGAGCGACCGAAGAGCCGGGCAGGUCGGUGGAGACGGCAGUGCCGGCUGGAGGAGCGGCCGGCUGGUGAACCUCGGCAUGAUCACCGCCUCCCACAGAGGGCGCGCUUGCGCACGCCUCGUUGCUCGAGGCACGGUCAGGCUGAGGCUGGCUGGCUGUUCCACCGGCCGGCUCGACGUCUUCGUCUUCCUCUACUUCGUCGUCUUCGCCUUCCUCGCUGGAGGCGAUUUCUUCUGCCGAGUCUUCACCCGCCGCCGGAUCCAGCCCGAACCACUCCUCCGGCUGGGCAACGCCGUCAUCAUUAAUCUCGGGAGCAAAGACGCUGAUGUCAGUACACUCGGCGAUUGUCGAUGCGCGCUGAGCGAUAGCCGGCCGCACCUUCGCUAGCUCCUCGUCGGCCUCCAGCCGUCAGGUGCGCAGCUGGUCCAGGUUCAGCCUCGGAUACCAAGCUCGGACGAACUCCAGCGCCCGCCCAGCUCCAAGUCGGGCCGCCGACGCCUUCCAGGCCUCGAACCGGCCAACCGCAACCUCCAGCCAGUCGGCAGUCUGACUCGGGGUGCGGGGAAUCGCCUCGCUUGGCCAGAGGGCGGCCAACACCUGCGCUCCGGCGCGCUGGAGACGGCGGAGCAUACGAUGAGCCGGCUGCAGCAGCGCUUGGACCGCCAAGAGUUGUUCUUCAAGCGACCGACUCGCGUCCGGCGCGACUUCAGCCCCUGCCUGCCGGCACGCUUCGCGAUGGGCCUCGAUGGUUUGGGCGGCGAGGACGGAGUAGCCAGGAAAGUAGUCUGCACAGAGAAUAAAAAGCAGCUCAAGUCAGAACACAAGUCAGGCGGCAAGGGGCAGGCAAGGAGCGAGGAAGGCGGCUCACCGUCGAUCAAAUCCUCAAUACGGCCGAAGCCUUCAUUCAGCGCUUGCCUAGUCUCAGCCCAGCCCGCCGCUUCAGUCUCGAACUCGGCCUUCAGGGCGGCUUCAUUAUCCUGCGCCUUCUUCAGAGCCGCCUUGUGGCUCUCCUCCUGGUCAGCCAGCUUCUUGGCCAGGCGGUCACGCUCUAGGACCAAGGUGUCGUACUCGGUUUCCUUGGCACGAAGGGCGGCCUGCGCCUCGCUGAGCUGCCCCCUUAAGUCGGCGUUGGCUUCUGCGAGCAUGAAAGACAAAAGAAAAACCAGUAAGGUGAAGUCGUCAGGAAAGAUCCGACCCGACUGCUCAGCAGUCGGCCCGAAUCUCGGGGACUACACCCAGUGGGUGCGCUGACGCGCCCCCACAGGAGAUGAAAGAAACCAAGUAUGUACUCCGGCUGCUGAUCAGGUCUUCGGUUCUCUGACCCAGCUCCUGGGCCUGGGAGUUGAAGGCGGCAGCGCGGAGGUUAUGAUAUUCCUGGAAGAUUAGACAGGAGGCGAGAAUAAGGUAGUUGUCAAGGAAGAUCCGACCCGACUGCUCAGUAGUCGGCCCGAAUCUCGGGGACUACACCCAGUGGGUGCGCUGACGCGCCCCCACGGAAGAAAUCAAGAGAACAAAGCAACCAAAGAUAGAAGACUCACCCGAAUGACGGCCCGCGUCGCAAGGAACUCCUGGGUGUAUUGCUACAGCGAGGCGGCUUGGGCCUGAAGCCGGUUCCGAACCUCUUGGGCCGCCACAUUCAGCUCGCCCGUCCCGCCGCUGGGAAUCCACUCGGACGUGCCGGUGCUGGCCGCCUCCAAGGCCUCCACCGUCCGGCGGGCACCCGAAGCUCGGUGCGGCUCCGGCGCAGCGGUGCCUCCCCCUGCGCGCUGGCGCACUGCCGGCUGCACCUCGAGGCCGGCUCCCGCUUCCGGCUCACCCCCAGUCGGCUGCUCUGGCGCCGCAGCCGACUGGCCGCCUUGGCUCGGUCCGGUUGGCGCUACCGGUGGCGCCCUCUCCACGAAGAUCACGGAGUCCUCCCUCCGCUCCAUCACCAGCGGUUCUUGGUCGACCUCCUCCAGCGGAGGCACAGGAAUGUUGGGGGCCACGGCGCGGAGGGGAAUGGCUAGCAGCGGAGGCUGGUUGUGCGAAGCCUCCGCCUCCGUCUCCACAGCUGCCGCCUCCGUCCGAGCCUUGGCUGCUGCGUUGGCCUGCUCCUUCAUCGCCUGGGCGGCCCUUCGCUUCGCCGCCUCCCGCUCCUCCCACGCCUCUCAUGCGUUCCGCUCCGUGGCCACCCUGAGGUCGGCGCGGGGAUCCACGCAGCGGGAGCCUGAAGACCCUCCAGUCGGCCCGACUACGGAGCCGCCCGGACCCCGCUCAAGGGAAAGCGGCGCCCUGUCCGGCGAGCAAAGAAAGGUUUAGAAAAGUUUUCAAUCGAAAAGAAGAACAACAAAAAAUAUAUCCAAGCAUUCGACGACUUACGCUGAGAUCGCCUGCGGCUGCUUCACCGCCUUGCGGAAGCGGGCCGCCUUCGCGGCCGCCUCAUCUCGCUUGGUCGCCGUUGUGGAAGCCUUGGACUUCUUCGGACGGCUGCCGAAGAGGAUCGACACGGCCCGGCGGACGAGCUCGCGCUUUGAUGAUCAGGCGCCGGUUGGCGGCGCGGGGCGACUUCAACCUCGGCAUCAUCCGGCCAGUCCUCGAAGUCGGCCGUGAGCCCCGCGCCUCCGGCCCCGUCGCUUUCCCCCAUGAUGGCGUCUUCCAUGGCGGCCACUACCAAGUCUGGGUCAUCGGCAUCGUCCACCGUGCGGUAGGGGAGGAGCUGGCGCUCUACCCCCACGGCCCCGGCUGUCGGCGGGAGAAGAGGGUUCUGCAAAAGGCAAACGAACUGAUCAAGAGUCAGCUAUCAUGAGGCCGGCUACAAAAGGAAGAAAAGAAGAAAAAACUUACGAUGGGCGGAGGGUUGGCGCGAGAGUACGGCCCCUUGCCGUACCGACAAUCCUCGCCGAGCUUGCAGUUGGAGAUAUAGUUCACCAUGUAGGAGACCUCCGCAUGAGGCAUCUCCCUGGUGCUCAGCCGAAAUGGGUCGAAGAGGCCGCUCAUCUGACAAACCAUGUGAGGCCGGCUUUGGAGGGGAAGAACCCGGCGCUCCAUGAAGGCGGCCACCAAGUCGGCUCCGGUCAGGCCCUCUGACUGGAUCAUCACCCGAAGUCGGGAGACGGCUGCGUUCCCGGCCUGAGACAGCGACCUGGCCCAGUAGCUCCACGAAGGCUGCCUCCCAGCCGGCGGGCCGGCUACGUAAUCCGGCAGGUUGACAUAGUCGCUUUGCUGGGCGACGUUCCUCAUGUAGAAAUAAGACUUCUGCCAAAGCUUCACCGACUGGAUUAGCGGAAUGGACGGGAACGAAUUGUUCUCGCUCGCCCGCCUCAUGGUGAUGAAGGCUCCGCAGGGGGCGGGCACGCCCGCGACGACGGUGCCGAGUUUUCUCUGGAAGAAUUCCGCCCAGAGCUCGAGCGUGGGGAGGACCCCAAGGAAGCCCUCGCACAGCGUGACGAAGGCCGACAGCAGCAUCACCGUGUUGGGCGUGAGGUGAUGCGGCUGGAGGUUGUAGAAUUCGAGGAAGGCCCGGAGGAACCCGCUCGCCGGAAGGCCGAAGCCGCGCAGGCAGUGCGAGCGGAAGAUCACCCGCUCGCCUUCCUCCGGUGCCGGCGAAAUCUCCUUCUCCGGCGCUAGACGAACCCGAACGAAGUUCUCGCCGGGAAGGCGUCGCGUCUGGCGGAGGAAUGCGACGUGGUCCUCAUGGACGUUGGAGCCAUCCCACGAGCUUGACAGCACCAUGGGGCAGCGCGGCGAGAAGCAAGACGAUGCGGCGGCGGAACGGCGCGGCAAAGAGCUGCUACGGGGAAGAGAAGAAGGAGGGCGAGAAGGGGGCGGAGUGAGGGAGAGCGCGCGAGCCUCUGCCGCCCCCUCCUCCUCCUACUUAUAGACCACGCGGCGGAGCUGAGGAGGCGCGGCGUGGGGGAAUGUGGGGAUCAACUGCACCCACUCCCCCACGUCUCGCGAUUACUGUAACUUGAUGGCAGAAUAAAACCGCCGCGGGAAGGCGAGCGGUCCAUGUGGGCCGCGGAAGAUCCGCGCUCGGACCGAGGCCUGCGAGUGGCGGGCUCGGGCCUGCGGCGGCGUCCCGCCGCGCUGUGCAUUGGCAGGAUUUCCUCGCCACGUGGCUGAAAGCACAAGUGCUCCCUAGGUGGUUUUGAUAAUUGAUGACAACAUAUCUCUUGUUGGACUAACAUUUCUAUCUAGCAUGUUUCAGAUAAGUUCAACAAUGGAGUGGCAUGGACUAAAGGUUGUGGGAACUCCUUCAAGAUGCUAAGGACAAAGGAUUGGCUAAAGCUUAAAGCUCAAGACUCUUCAUUUUACAUUUUAGUGAUCCAAGAUCACAUUGAGUCCAUAGGAAAAGCCAAUACUACCAAGGAGGGAUGAGGUGUUGCUUAAUGAGCCUCUUGCUUCAUGUGCUUAGUGAUAUGCUCCAAAACCCUCAACUACUUUCCCACUUCCACAUAUGACCUAAACCCAAAGCCAAACUCAGUCAUACCGAUUCUUUCUAUCCGGCGCCACCGAGUUUCACUUGUCAUAAGCCACUGCCAAACCCUAGCAAUUCGGUUCUACCGAUAGGGAUCUCGGUCUCACCGAGAUGGGAUUGCAAACUCUCUGUUACCUAUUGCAAUAUUUUCGGUCCCACCGGAAUAUGCAAUCGGUCCCAUCGAGAUUGCAAUGUAAAUUCAGUGUUUCCUUUUUGUAACUUCUUGGUCUCACCGAAAGAGCAAAUCGGUCCCACCGAGUUUGCCUGACCAACUCUCUGGUUAGCUAAUUACCAAAUUCGUUCUCACCGAGUUUGUGUAAUCGGUCUCACUGAGAUUACGUUAUGCCCAAACCCUAACCAUAUCGGUCCUACCGAGUUGCAUGUCAGUCCCACCGAAAAUCUCUAACGGUCACUAGGUUUACAUUUUCAGUCCGACCGAGUUUGUUGAUUCGGUCCCACCGAGAUUGGAAAACUAUGUGUAACUGUUGGAUUUUGUGUGGAGGUUAUAUAUACCCCUCCACCUCCUCUUCAUUCGAAGAGAGAGCCAUCAGAACGCAUACACCAUUCCAACUCAUAUGUUCUGAGAGAGAACCACCUACUCAUGUGUUGAGACCAAGAUAUUCCAUUCCUACCAUAUGAAUCUUGAUCUCUAGCCUUCCCCAAGUUGCUUUCCACUCAAAUCUUCUUUCCACAAAAUCCAAAUCCUAUGAGAGAAAGUUGAGUGUUGGGGAGACUAUCAUUUGAAGCACAAGAGCAAGGAGUUCAUUACCUACACACCAUUUGUUACUUCUUGGAGAGUGGUGUCUCCUAGAUUGGCUAGGUGUCACUUGGGAGCCUCCGACAAGAUUGUGGAGUUGAACCAAGGAGUUUGUAAGGGCAAGGAGAUCGCCUACUUCGUGAAGAUCUACCGCUAGUGAGGCAAGUCCUGUGUGGGUGAUGGACAUGGUGGGAUAGACAAGGUUGCUUCUUCCUGGACCCUUUGUGGGUGGUUGCUUCUUCGUGGACCCUUCGUGGGUGGAGCCCUGUGUGGACUCGCGCAACCGUUACCCUUUGUGGGUGGAGCCCUGUGUGGACUCGCGCAACCGUUACCCUUUGUGGGUUGAAGUCUCCAUCAACGUGGAUGUAGGAUAGCACCACUUAUCCGAACCACGGGAAAAACAUCCGUGUCUCCAAUUGCGUUUGAUUUCUCCAAACCCUUCCCUUUACAUUCUUGCAAGUUGCAUGCUUUACAUUCCGCUGCUCAUAUACUCUUUGCAUGCUUGCUUGAUAUGUAUUGUGUGUGUUGAAAUUGUGCCUAAACUCCACUUAAACCGAAAAAGCUUAAAAAUUGCAACUUUAGCAUUAAGUGUCUAAUCACCCCCCCUCUAGACACAUCUACUUCUAGAUCCUACAAGUGGUAUCAGAGCUUUGGUCUCCAUUGCCUUGGUUUAAUCACCAUUGGAGGAAGAUGGAUGUGUCUACAUUAGGGAGUCUUAGACAUAGAGUGCCUAUUCUUGAUGGAGAGUAUUUUCAUUAGUGGAAAAAUGAGAUGCUUGUAAUCUUCAAUCAAUAUCAUUUGAACAAGUAUAUUGCUAGCCCUUGUGCAUCUCAUAUUGAUCCUUUGCAUCCUACCCUAGAUGAAGAUAUUGACAUGAUUCGCAAUCUUAGAACUAUUGAGCUCAUUAUUAGAGGAUUGCCCAAAAAUUUGAUUGCUAGUUUGCCUACUCAAAAUUGUGCCUAUACUAUAUGGAAAUUUCUUGAGGAACGAUUUCCCGACCAUUCCUUGAAAACUUUGGAUGAAAUUCUCCAUAAAUCUAUUGCCUUGAGUAAGAUGAACUCUAGUGAUCCUAGUUUUGGUAAAUGUCUAUUUGAACUUACCAAUCUUAAGCAUGCUAAAGAAGAUGUUGGAAUCAUUAAUGAUAUCAUAUUCAAAGCUAUAAGAAUUCAUAAAAGUGACCACUUUGAUGACCAUUUAUCUAAUGAAUUACCCUCUCUAGGAAAUGAUGAGUCACAAGAUCAUGAUGAACAUGAAUAUUAUGAUGAUGAUGAUGAUAGUGACUUCGAUCUUGAUAAUGCAAUGAAACAUUUUGGUCUUAUGGCUAAUCUUCGGGGAUAUGAAUCAGGAGGAAAGGAAUGGGUUCUUGAUAGUGGAUGUACUGAUCAUAUGACCGGAGAUGAAGAGAUGUUUCGUGAGCUUGCUGAAAAUGACGGACCUCGAAAAUAUGUCACCUUUGGUGAUAAUUCAAAGGGUAAAGUGGUUGGCCUUGGUAAGGUGGCCAUCUCACAUGAUAGUUCCAUUCAAAAUGUCAUGCUCGUUGAAUCUCUUGGCUACAACUUACUUUCAGUAUCUAGACUUGCUGAUUUCGGUUUGAAUGUCCUAUUUACUGAGGUAGAUUGCCAAGUAUUUCGUCGAGACAAUCAUAAAAUGGUCUUUACGGGUAUGCGUAGAGGUGAUCUUUACAUUGUCGAUUUCUCUAAAAAGGCACAACCUAAAACUUGCUUUGUUGCUAAAUCCUCAAAAGGUUGGUUGUGGCAUAGACGACUAGGUCACGUUGGCAUGAGAAACCUUGACAAGCUUAUUAAAGGAAAUCAUAUCCUUGGAGUUAACGAUGUCAUAUUUGAUAAGGAUAGACUUUGCAGUGCUUGUCAAGCAGGUAAAUAGGUUGGAGGAAGGCAUCCCGUGAAGAACAUCAUGACCACAAGAAGGCCACUCGAGCUACUUCAUAUGGAUCUUUUUGGUCCCAACGCCUACAAGAGUCUCGGUGGAAAUUCUUUUGGUCUAGUUAUAGUUGAUGAUUUUUCAAGAUUUACGUGGGUGUUCUUUCUUAAUGACAAGUCGCAGGUCCAGAAGAUCUUCAGAAACUUCGCUAGGAAGGCCCAAAAUCAGUUUGACGUGAAGAUCAAGAAGGUUCGGAGUGACAAUGGAACGGAGUUCAAGAACGCAAAUGUGGACACCUUUCUUGACGAAGAAGGGAUUUCACACGAGUUCUCGGCUACGUACACACCUCAACAAAAUGGAGUUGUUGAGAGGAAGAACCGGACGCUCAUCGAAAUGGCAAGAACGAUGCUUGAUGAAUACAAGACGCCAAAGCACUUUUGGGCAGAAGCGGUUGAGACAGCUUGUCACGCAACAAAUCGCUUAUAUCUUCACAAGCUACUCGGCAAGACGGGAUACGAGCUUCUCACCGGUAACAAACCCCAAGUUGGAUAUUUUUGAGUAUUCGGCUCAAAGUGCUACAUUCUUGAUAAGCAUCAUCGUUCAAAGUUUGCUCCUAAAUCUCAUGAAGGUUUUCUACUUGGUUAUGGCUCAAACUCUCACACUUACCGUGUCUACAACAAUUUCACCUGAAAGGUUGAAGAGAUGGUAGAUGUGAAGUUUGAUGAAUCUAAUGGCUCGCAAGUAGAGCAAUUGCCAAUUGAUGUAGGAGACAAAGACCCUUCAGAAGCAAUUCAAGACUUGUCCAUUGGCAAAAUUCGUCCAACGGAGGUGAAGGAGAGUACUUCAUCCGUCCAAGUGGAAGCUUCUACUUCACGACAACGUGAACCAAGAAUCGACACGGAAGCAUCCACAAGUGGGACACACCAAGAUGAAGAAAACGAGGAAAUACGUCAAGACGAACAUCAACAACCUCCUUCUCCACCACGACAAGAGAACGACGACGUCAACAAUGAAGAAGGCCAAGAAGAAGAACAAGAUGAAGAAGAUGUUCAACGAAGACCCAAGCAAAAGCUCUCACGAGUUCGAGCAAGAAUUGCCAAAGAUCAUCCCGUCGAGCAAAUCCUCAAUGAUAUACAAACCGGGAGAAUCACUUGCUCAAAAACUCGUUUAGCUAACUUUUGUGAAAACUAUUCAUUCAUCUCUAGCAUUGAACCUAUGAAGGUUGAAGAAGCAUUAGAAGAUCCAGAUUGGAUAAACACUAUGCAUGAAGAGCUACAUAAUUUUGAGAGAAACCAAGUUUGGACAUUGGUUGAGAAGCCCGACAACAACCACAACAUCAUUGGUACCAAAUGGGUGUUUCGCAACAAGCAAGAUGAAGAUGGACAAGUGGUUCGCAACAAAGCACGUCUCGUCGCCCAAGGGUACACACAAGUCGAAGGUAUGGACUAUGGUGAGACGUAUGCUCCCGUUGCUAGACUUGAGUCCAUUCGCAUCUUACUUGCCUAUGCUAAUCACCAUAAUAUCACCUUGUACCAAAUGGACAUUAAAAGUGCUUUUCUAAAUGGUGAAAUAGAGGAGGAAGUUUAUGUCAAACAACCUCCCGGCUUUAUCAACCCUAAGAAACCAAAUCAUGUUUACAAACUUCACAAAGCUCUUUAUGGUCUUAAACAAGCUCCUAGAGCAUGGUAUAAAUGCUUGACCAAGUUCCUUACUACAAGUGGUUUUGAAAUUGGUAAAAUUAAUUCUACUCUUUUUACUAAAAGGGUUAAUGGAGAACUAUUUGUAUGCCAAAUUUAUGUUGAUGAUAUCAUAUUUGGUUCAACUAACCCUCUCUUUAGUGAAAAGUUUGGAAAGCUAAUGUCAGAGAAGUUUGAGAUGUCUAUGAUGAGUGAACUCAAAUUCUUUCUCGGGUUGCAAAUCAAGCAAACUAAGGAAGGUACAUUUGUCUCUCAAACAAAGUACACCAAGGACUUAUUCAAGAAGUUCAAUAUGCAAGAAUGCAAAGGUAUGUCUACACCCAUGCCUACUAGUGGACAUAAUGAUUUAACCAAAGAUGGUGAACCGGUUGAUCAAAAGGUUUAUCGCUCUAUGGUUGGUUCAUUGUUAUACCUAUGUGCUUCACGUCCCGAUAUUAUGCUAAGUGUGUGCAUGUGUGCACGAUAUCAGGCUGCUCCUAAAGGUUGUCAUCUUAAGGCUGUGAAAAGGAUAGUGAGAUAUUUAAUCCAUACACCAAAUUUUGGCAUUUGGUAUCCUAAGAGGUCUUCUUUUGAUCUUGUUGGCUAUUCUGACUCGGAUUAUGCCGGAGACAAGGUUGAUAGAAAGUCUACUUCGGGUACUUGUCAAUUUCUUGGUAGAUCUCUUGUGUCUUGGUCUUCCAAGAAACAAAACUCGGUAUCCUUAUCCACCGCCGAAGCGGAAUACAUUGCCGCUGGUUCAUGUUGUGCUCAAUUACUUUGGAUGACCCAAACUCUUAAAGAUUAUGGGAUUUAUGUGAAACAUGUUCCACUACUUUGUGACAAUGAAAGUGCUAUCAAAAUUGGUCAUAAUCCUGUACAACAUUCUCGAACUAAGCAUAUUGAAGUUCGUCAUCAUUUCAUUCGAGAUCAUGUUGCUAAGGGUGACAUCAAUCUUAAGCAUGUUCGCACCGAUAAGCAAUUAGCGGAUAUAUUCACUAAACCACUUGAUGAGAAAGGGUUUUGCAGGUUGAGAGGAGAAUUGAACAUCAUUGAUGCUUCGAACUUGGAGUAGAAACUCCAUUAGAUACAUGCAAGAUAUGAGCUUAUGACUAAUCCAUGAUAUAUCUCUUAUGAUAACUAUCUUAUGUCUUGGAUAUAUUUGCACCUUGCAUGUUGUCUAACCCAUGUAGGUGCUUGGUUGAAUCUAAUUCCAUGAGAUUGCGACUCACUCACAUCUUGAGCAAUCUCUACAAGACCAAGACUCUACACAAUAGUGGUUGAAGACAAGGAAGCACAAAACCAUUCAAACAUAUCCUUUGACAAAUUCUAUGUUAAGCCUCAUGAUUGUCAUUUUUGGAUACACAAGUGCUCUUCCUUGCAAGAACUAACCCCUGUAGGUAGAUGAACUCAAACUCCAAGUGGUUCUCCCAACUCUUGAUGACCUACAUCAACCUUGAGAACCCACACAAGUUCAACUACAUGAGCAAGAACCACACUACCACCCAAGGUAUGUUAUUCCAUCUUAGAGAAGCUUUACUCCAAGACAUGAGUCAAAGCAACUCAACAAGAUGUGAAUACAUCAAGAUGCUUAAAUGAAAAAUGGUAACCCCAUUUUGAGCUUAAACAAUGAGUAUGACCUAUGAUCAAGUGUUCUCACUUGACUCCUAAGUCAAUAUACUCUAACAUAGGUGACUAUGUCACCGCCCAACUCUAGAUGAAGCUCUCUUGUGUUCUUUCUUUGUGUUAUUGCAUUUGUCUCAUGCAUGUUUAUUUUCUCUCUCCUUUUUCAAAAACAAAAAAAAACUUCAUCUAGAUCUUUUAGUCCCUUCUUUUUUUCUCUUUUUUUUGUUCUGCAUUUUCUGCACUUAAUUCCUUGCAAAUCCUUCAGGAAAUUCACUGCAAAUCUUUGUGAGAUCUUACUUGACUAGUGAGCUGAGGUGACAAGUGUUUUUCUCUGUGAUGAACUCGGUUUCACCGAAUUGUCAUUUUCGGUCCAACCGAAUCCCUUCGGUACUACCGAAACAUGCCACUCGGUGCCACCGAUUUCGCAACAGGAAAAACAGUUUGUCACAUAUUCUCUAUUUCUUCUGAUCCAGCUCCACUCAAUGAAUCUUGUCCUCUACAAGCAUCACAGUUUUAUUCACUGCUUUGUGCUGAAUCUCAAGGACCAAACCUAUUCGACGGAUUCCAGGAAAAACCUUCUUGGAAAUUGAUGUCAAAGGGGGAGAGAGAGAUCACAUCAAAGCUUAUCAUCAGGGAGAGAGAGAUCACAUCAAAAGCUUAUCACCUACAAAGGAGAAAGUACUAAGGGGGAGAGAAUACUCAAGGAUCCCAUAUAUUAAGGGGGAGAAAGAAAUCUCCAAGGGGAGAGAAUACUCAAGGAUCCCAAAUGCUUGAUGUUCAAGAAGAGAGAUGCCACAUGUCUUUUUGGGGGAAAGACAUGUUCAUAUGAACUCAUUUGAAUUAAGUUCUAUUCAUAUCUUUCAGCACUGAUUUUCUGUUUCCUAUCUUCUCCCAAUAUCCCAUGUUAGAUUCAGGGGGAGCAAGACACCUAAGGGAAAGAAAUCAGUCAAAUUCAUUGCAUAUCUUUAUUCUUGGGGACAUGUUGAAUUCAAUGUGGUACCUUGUACUCACUCUCUACAUGUCAUCCCAGUCUUGGUAUUCUUGUGGUUUCUUUUGUUUGCUCUGGCUAGUGGAUGUACCUGUGUUAUCUAACCUUGUUUGUGCAGGUUCAUUCCAUCCUAAGCCAACUCAAGACCACAAGGUAAGUAUAUGCAUCAAAAUCAUGAGUAUGAGGAGUUCUUGCUUAUGUACAUACUGUUUGCAAGAAGGACUCAUGAGCAUGAAGAUAUUUUCCUUGAUAAUCUUUUGCUCUGAUGCAUAUGGCCAAGAUGCAUGUAACACAUUGCCUACUCUGUCAUGGUUAUGCUCUCACAUGUCUCUAUAUUUCAUAUUUACAUGAGUGCAUACAUGUAGGGGGAGCCUAUGCUUGUUACAUGUCCUUCCAAAGCUUUACUUGCUAUUCUUUAUAUCUUUAUCUAAAGCUUUGAUGUAUGUUGCCAUCAAUUACCAAAAAAGAGGAGAUUGAAAGCACAAGUGCUCCCUAGGUGGUUUUGAUAAUUGAUGACAACAUAUCUCUUGUUGGACUAACAUUUCUAUCUAGCAUGUUCCAGAUAAGUUCAACAAUGGAGUGGCAUGGACUAAAGGUUGUGGGAACUCCUUCAACAUGCUAAGGACAAAGGAUUGGCUAAAGCUUAAAGCUCAAGACUCUUCAUUUUACAUUUUAGUGAUCCAAGAUCACAUUGAGUCCAUAGGAAAAGCCAAUACUAUCAAGGAGGGAUGAGGUGUUGCUUAAUGAGCCUCUUGCUUCAUGUGCUUAGUGAUAUGCUCCAAAACCCUCAACUACUUUCCCACUUCCACAUAUGACCUAAACCCAAAGCCAAACUCGGUCAUACCGAUUCUUUCUAUCCGGCGCCACCGAGUUUCACUUGUCAUAAGCCACUACCAAACCCUAGCAAUUCGGUUCUACCGAUAGGGAUCUCGGUCUCACCGAGAUGGGAUUGCAAACUCUCUGUUACCUAUUGCAAUAUUUUUGGUCCCACCGAAAUAUGCAAUCGGUCCCACCGAGAUUGCAAUGUAAAUUUAGUGUUUCCUUUUUGUAACUUCUCGGUCUCACCGAAAGAGCAAAUCGGUCCCACCGAGUUUGCCUAACCAACACUCUGGUUAGCUAAUUACCAAAUUCGGUCUCACCGAGUUUGUGUAAUCGGUCUCACCAAGAUUACGUUAUGCCCAAACCCUAACCAUAUCGGUCCUACCGAGUUGCAUGUCAGUCCCACCGAAAAUCUCUAACGGUCACUAGGUUUACAUUUUCGGUCCGACCGAGUUUGUUGAUUCGGUCCCACCGAGAUUGGAAAACUGUGUGUAACGGUUGGAUUUUGUGUGGAGGCUAUAUAUACCCCUCCACCUCCUCUUCAUUCGCAGAGAGAGCCAUCGGAACGCAUACACCAUUCCAACUCAUAUGUUCUGAGAGAGAACCACCUACUCAUGUGUUGAGACCAAAAUAUUCAAUUCCUACCAUAUGAAUCUUGAUCUCUAGCCUUCCCCAAGUUGCUUUCCACUCAAAUCUUCUUUCCACAAAAUCCAAAUCCUAUGAGAGAAAGUUGAGUGUUGGGGAGACUAUCAUUUGAAGCACAAGAGCAAGGAGUUCAUUACCUACACACCAUUUGUUACUUCUUGGAGAGUGGUGUCUCCUAGAUUGGCUAGGUGUCACUUGGGAGCCUCCGACAAGAUUGUGGAUUUGAACCAAGGAGUUUGUAAGGGCAAGGAGAUCGCCUACUUUGUGAAGAUCUACCGCUAGUGAGGCAAGUCCUGUGUGGGCGAUGGCCAUGGUGGGAUAGACAAGGUUGCUUCUUCGUGGACCCUUUGUGGGUGGUUGCUUCUUCGUGGACCCUUCGUGGGUGGAGCCUGUGUGGACUCGCGCAACCGUUACCCUUUGUGGGUGGAGCCCUAUGUGGACUCGCGCAACCGUUACCCUUUGUGGGUUGAAGUCUCCAUCAACGUGGAUGUAGGAUAGCACCACCUAUCCGAACCACGGGAAAAACAUCCGUGUCUCCAAUUGCGUUUGAUUUCUCCAAACCCUUCCCUUUACAUUCUUGCAAGUUGCAUGCUUUACAUUCCGCUGCUCAUAUACUCUUUGCAUGCUUGCUUGAUAUGUAUUGUGUGUGUGUUCAAAUUGUGCCUAAACUCCACUUAAACCGAAAAAGCUUAAAAAUUGCAACUUUAGCAUUAAGUGUCUAAUCACCCCCCCCUCUAGACACAUCUACUUCUAGAUCCUACAGUGGCCCACGUUCCCGCCUACGAGAAACAGAGCUCUCCGAAGUCGGCGCGCACAAGCAAAGCCGGCCCCUCAGGAUAGGAAGCUGACCAAGCUUCUCGUCCCUUUAUCAGCCUCGAAGCUCGCUCAGCUUCGGGGACUACUGUCGGAGUAAGUGACCACGGGUAGCCUAGCCGGCUCCCCCUGGCCUUUCUGAAAAAAUUACGAGCCGAUCCGGCUCUCAAGAAUCCAAGACAUGGGGCCGCCUUCCCCUGGCCGGCUGUCUCCCAGGCCGGCUAUUGGAAGGCGGCCCGACUUCAGCCCUCAUGAAGAAAGCCGCGGGAGGGCCGGCUCCGAGCAGCCGGCUGCGAGAAGGCCGACCUCAAGGAGCCGGCUCCCAUAAAGCGGUCAAGACCGUACCACCGAAGUCUGCAUCCACAUAAUGGCGAUGUGAUGGGGCGUGGCUACAGUGAAGCCUGCCACCCCCGAAUCCCGGAGCGCGCCUGGCACAGUGCGCCGUACGGGUGGCCAUGACCCGUCCGGCGCAGCACUGUUGCCACACUGACCCUGAUGUCAUCCACGACGGGCUACCAGUACGGCCCACGGGCGAUGGGCCCCUUUAGGCAGAGAGACACCUGAAGGCGGCCUGGCCUCCCCCAGUCGGCCCGAGACGGAGCCGGCUCUCUCCAGCCGGCUUGCCACCCCCUCGAAGGAGACGCCCCAUUAAGGAGACAAGACGCGGUGAGGCUACAGUGGUCACCCGCCGGACGGCAGCACUGUAACCAUGGUUACCUCGGCGAAGCCCUCGUCACCAAGAUUGAGCAACAGUAACCAGCCACCGACAAGGCCCUGGACAGUGGGGCCUGCCUGUCGACCAGGGAGCCGGCAGCCGGCGGGACCCACCAGCCGGCGGGCCCCAGCAGUCGGCGUGGAAGCCGGAGAGCGAAGACACAGAUGGCUGGGCCCCACGCCCAGCUAGAUUACCAUUGUACCCCCGGGAGAGUAGGCCUAUAUAAACCCCCCGGGACACCCAUGCAAAGGGUUGAUCCCUGCUAGUUUUAGACACCACGUAGGGAGGAGAAGAGAGAAAGCAGAGCCCUUCUUCCUCCUCUCAUCAAACAGCUCAAGGAGCAUCGUGUAGCUACUUGUUCAUCUAGUGAUCAUGCGGAGACCCCGCAGAGUAGCAGUAGGGGUGUUAUCUCCACGGAGAGCCCCGAAGCUGGGUAAGAUUCGCCGGCGUGCAUGUCUUCACCUCAUCCCAUAUCCAGGCACCGGUGAUGUUUUACUGGCUCCCACAAUGAUAAGCCACCCGCUGGCAUAUGUCGCACCUACCACCCGACAGGUAAAAUCGGUGACAUGGUUGAUCCCCACUGAUUCCUCUCUCUACUAUCCAAUCCAGAAGAAAGAUCUACCAAUUAAUUAGGAAACAAAUACAAAUCCUGCGCUAUCACCAUAUUUUCCCCCAAAACACGGUCCGCUAAAUCCGCGGAUGUCAUGGCGCAAUUGGUCCCGAUCGAACCUUCCCCAUAUGGAACAGAGGGGAUCUCACCUGGUAAAAUAUGGAUCAAAUCCAUCGCUCUUUCCCUUGAAUGCUG
This 23836-nucleotide long non-coding RNA is filed under the name Triticum aestivum (bread wheat). Its description in RNAcentral is "long non-coding RNA (TAES_LNC006333)". Lineage: Eukaryota; Viridiplantae; Streptophyta; Magnoliopsida; Poales; Poaceae. The record is from RNAcentral.